Molecule: transfer RNA, 72 nt
Filed under: Paramuricea clavata
Lineage: Eukaryota; Metazoa; Cnidaria; Anthozoa; Malacalcyonacea; Plexauridae
Rfam family: tRNA
About the family: Transfer RNA (tRNA) molecules are approximately 80 nucleotides in length. Their secondary structure includes four short double-helical elements and three loops (D, anti-codon, and T loops). Further hydrogen bonds mediate the characteristic L-shaped molecular structure. tRNAs have two regions of fundamental functional importance: the anti-codon, which is responsible for specific mRNA codon recognition, and the 3' end, to which the tRNAs corresponding amino acid is attached (by aminoacyl-tRNA synthetases). tRNAs cope with the degeneracy of the genetic code in two manners: having more than one tRNA (with a specific anti-codon) for a particular amino acid; and 'wobble' base-pairing, i.e. permitting non-standard base-pairing at the 3rd anti-codon position.
Source: Rfam by way of RNAcentral
UCCUCGGUAGGAUAGUGGUGAGUAUCCCCGCCUGUCACGCGGAAGACCGGGGUUCGAUUCCACGCCGGGGAG